RNAcentral lists this ribosomal RNA (1433 nucleotides) under uncultured organism. Its description in RNAcentral is "SSU rRNA". It matches the Rfam family "Bacterial small subunit ribosomal RNA". The record is from RNAcentral.
UGAUGAACGCUAGCUACAGGCUUAACACAUGCAAGUCGAGGGGCAGCAUGGUCUUAGCUUGCUAAGGCCGAUGGCGACCGGCGCACGGGUGAGUAACACGUAUCCAACCUGCCGUCUACUCUUGGACAGCCUUCUGAAAGGAAGAUUAAUACAAGAUGGCAUCAUGAGUCCGCAUGUUCACAUGAUUAAAGGUAUUCCGGUAGACGAUGGGGAUGCGUUCCAUUAGAUAGUAGGCGGGGUAACGGCCCACCUAGUCUUCGAUGGAUAGGGGUUCUGAGAGGAAGGUCCCCCACAUUGGAACUGAGACACGGUCCAAACUCCUACGGGAGGCAGCAGUGAGGAAUAUUGGUCAAUGGGCGAGAGCCUGAACCAGCCAAGUAGCGUGAAGGAUGACUGCCCUAUGGGUUGUAAACUUCUUUUAUAAAGGAAUAAAGUCGGGUAUGGAUACCCGUUUGCAUGUACUUUAUGAAUAAGGAUCGGCUAACUCCGUGCCAGCAGCCGCGGUAAUACGGAGGAUCCGAGCGUUAUCCGGAUUUAUUGGGUUUAAAGGGAGCGUAGAUGGAUGUUUAAGUCAGUUGUGAAAGUUUGCGGCUCAACCGUAAAAUUGCAGUUGAUACUGGAUAUCUUGAGUGCAGUUGAGGCAGGCGGAAUUCGUGGUGUAGCGGUGAAAUGCUUAGAUAUCACGAAGAACUCCGAUUGCGAAGGCAGCCUGCUAAGCUGCAACUGACAUUGAGGCUCGAAAGUGUGGGUAUCAAACAGGAUUAGAUACCCUGGUAGUCCGCACGGUAAACGAUGAAUACUCGCUGUUUGCGAUAUACUGCAAGCGGCCAAGCGAAAGCGUUAAGUAUUCCACCUGGGGAGUACGCCGGCAACGGUGAAACUCAAAGGAAUUGACGGGGGCCCGCACAAGCGGGGGAACAUGUGGUUUAAUUCGAUGAUACGCGAGGAACCUUACCCGGGCUUAAAUUGCAGAUGAAUUACGGUGAAAGCCGUAAGCCGCAAGGCAUCUGUGAAGGUGCUGCAUGGUUGUCGUCAGCUCGUGCCGUGAGGUGUCGGCUUAAGUGCCAUAACGAGCGCAACCCUUGUUGUCAGUUACUAACAGGUUCCGCUGAGGACUCUGACAAGACUGCCAUCGUAAGAUGUGAGGAAGGUGGGGAUGACGUCAAAUCAGCACGGCCCUUACGUCCGGGGCUACACACGUGUUACAAUGGGGGGUACAGAGGGCCGCUACCACGCGAGUGGAUGCCAAUCCCCAAAACCUCUCUCAGUUCGGACUGGAGUCUGCAACCCGACUCCACGAAGCUGGAUUCGCUAGUAAUCGCGCAUCAGCCACGGCGCGGUGAAUACGUUCCCGGGCCUUGUACACACCGCCCGUCAAGCCAUGGGAGCCGGGGGUACCUGAAGUGCGUAACCGCGAGGAGCGCCCUAGGGUA